Molecule: ribosomal RNA, 254 nt
Filed under: uncultured bacterium
Lineage: Bacteria
Description: partial 16S ribosomal RNA
Rfam family: Bacterial small subunit ribosomal RNA
Source: RNAcentral
UACAGAGGUCUCAAGCGUUGUUCGGAUUCAUUGGGCGUAAAGGGCGCGUAGGCGGCCACCGCAAGUCAAUUGUGAAAUCUCCGGGCUUAACUCGGAAAGGUCAACUGAUACUGCGGGGCUAGAGUGCGGAAGGGGCAACUGGAAUUCUCGGUGUAGCGGUGAAAUGCGUAGAUAUCGAGAGGAACACCUGCGGCGAAGGCGGGUUGCUGGGCCGACACUGACGCUGAGGCGCGAAAGCCAGGGGAGCGAACGGG